CCAACUGGAGAGCGGAGGAAGACCAAACUGUCGCCCAACUUUGGACAAGAUCAGCACGCACGUGAUUACCAAAAGUCCAACUGUUUUUCAGAGUAACGCCUGUGGCGUCAUAGUGACUAGGACUACAUUUCCCACAAGUCUGUGCGAUGGAGUUCCAGGACGCCUGGAAGAGUGUUUCCUACUGUUCCUGGGUUUCCGUACUGAUGUUUGCACUGUAGUGUCCCAGAGUUAGGAAAAAUGAAAAGCACGAACUGUAUCGAGAUGUAAUGAGUCGAAAUUUUAUGUAACAUGCGGCUGUCAUCAGUUCCCGUGGUCCAGCUUAACGAGUAGCAGUGACCACAUAAGGAGUGUGAGGAAGACAUUGAGCAUCCACAACUUGCCUGGUGAAGCAGCUCUCUGUAACAGUGUUUCAAAGCUCCAUGAAGACCUAUGUGUUGCAUCACAAAGGCCUACAAAACGAAAGCAUGGGGUCACUGCUGUCAAGUUCUGCUUCCAACUUGGGAUGGCGCCAGGCCCAAUAGCAUUGCUUCAUUUGACACUAGCAAUUAAAACAUUACCAAGAUACCCACUCAUCUCUGUGAUGUUCUAAUGAAGAGAGGAAAAAACGUCUAGUUACUCCACAUUGGUCUAUGAUCACAGACUAAACAAACAUUCCAUCCAAGUACCAAUCUUCAUGAAACAGACUUUUCUGCAGUGUGAAAGCUCUGGUGUCCAAUAGAGGCACAACACAUCUAAAGGCUUUGUGACAUUAUAUCUAGUACAGAGACUGAUGGCAACAGAGGUAUGAAGAAGAGGGAAAUGCCUUCCUGUGUCCCUUGCUGUCCUACACUGAUUUGUUGGAGUCAUGAAUGGUAUGACCAGAAACAACUUUGGGGAGUAAAUAUUUCAUUUCAACAUAAGGGUCAGUGUUCUUCCAGGGAUGCUAUGACUGGAAGGGCAGCAGAAACCAUGUCUCCUAACAUGUUUCUCAGCCUCCUACUCACCCACAAUUCUCAUGUGACCCAGGGUGGUACUGCUUGUCCUAGGUGGACUCUCCUACAUCACUUACUGAUCAAGAAAAUGGCCCCCUGACAUGCCCAUAAGGCACUCUGAUCCAGGAAAGCAUCUACGCAGAUAAUGCUGGCCUAGGUGAAGUUGACAGCUGAAGCUAAGGAGGACAUUUGCAUCUGCAGGGUUUCUCACCUGUAUCACUGCUUUGGUGUUGCUGAAGAUUGAAGUUUUGUUCAAGGCUUAGGGACAGUCAUUGUACUUGUAGAGUGUCUCUGCAGUAUGAAGUAUCUGCAGAUACUCACAGUGUAAAGAACAGGUAGAGAACUUACCACACUGAUUGCUUUUGUUGGCUUCCUCAUCAGAAUGAAUUCUCCAAUGCUUAUAUAGUCAUGAGGAAUAGGUAAGCCCCAGUCCUUUUCUGUACAUGAGUAGGAUUUCUCUCAGGUGAGAAUUACUGAGGUUGAACCAUGACUGAACAAUAAUUCAAACCUUCAAUAACACAUCCUUCACAUUAUAGCUUUGAUGUCCUGGAUGAAGAUUGUUGUGUUACUUAAAAUAUGAAGAAACACUAAAAGCUUAUCACUCCCUUCAUAAUUGGACUUCUUCUCUCCAGAUUGAACUUUAUUGUUGUUAGAAAGUGUUGACUCAGUGGUAAAGCACUCACCAUUCAAGUAUGUGCAAAGUGAUAAAAUCUUGCUAAAUAUUCAUUCCUUAUCCGAGACAAAAGUAUGACUUCUCUACUCAAUGGAAUCACUUGUCUCAGAUAAGGACUGAAUAUUUAGCAAGAUUUUAUAACUUUGCACAUACUUGUCAAGUUCCUAUUAAGAAUGAAUCCCUUUAUGUCUUCUAAGGGAUGAAGAUCGGAAAAAACUUUUCCCACACUUUUCACAUUUAUAGGGUUUCUCUCCAGUAUGAACAAUCUGGUGCUGAUUGAGGCUAUCAAGCCUAGAAAAGACUUUUCCACAUUGUUCACAUAUAUGGGGUUUCUCUCCAGUAUGAACUCUCUGGUGUUCAGUAAGGGCUGAGUGAUUUGGAAAGGCAUAGUGGCAUUCCCUACACUUAUAUGUGUGAAUUUUUUUGUGUUUUUUAAGGUCUAAAGUAGAGUAAAACAUUUUGCCACAUAUUUCACAUUUGUAAGAUUUCUCCCCAGAAUGACGCAAUUUGUGCCAAGGAAGGUAUGAGAGAGUAGAAAAUGUUUUCCCACACUCUUCACAUUUGUAUGGUUUCUCUCCAGAAUGAAUUCUUUGGUGAUCCUGAAGGUGUGGAAAAGAGUAAAACCUUCUGCCACAUUCUUCACACUUGUAGGAAUUCUCUUCUGAAUGAAUUCUCUGAUGACGCUUAAGGAAUGCAGAAGAGUAAAAUGCCUUGUCACAGUCUUUACACUUGUAGGGUUUCUUUCCAGAAUGAAUUCUUUGAUGCCGCUUAAGCAAUGAAGGAUAGUGAAAUGCUUUGCCACAUUCUGCACACUUGUAGGGUUUCUCUGCAGAAUGAAUUAUUUGAUGUUUCUUAAGCAAUAAAGGACAGUAAAAUAACUUUCCACAUUCUUCACACUUGUAGGAUUUCUCUGCAGAAUGAAUUCUUUGGUGUACCUUAAGUAAUGAAGGGUAGGAAAAUACUUUGGCACAAUCUUUACACUUGUAGGGUUUUUCUCCAGUAUGAUUUUUCCGGUGUCUAUAACGUGUUGAGUGAGUACUAAAGGCCUUACCACAUUCUUCACACUUGUAGGGUUUUUCUCCAGUAUGAAUUCUCUGGUGUACAGAAAGUUUUGAUUGAGUAUUAAAGGCCUUACCACAUUCUUCACACUUGUAGGAUUUUUCUCCAGUAUGAAUUCUCUGGUGUGUAGAAAGUCUUGAGCGAACACGAAAGGCUUUAC
This is a long non-coding RNA of Peromyscus eremicus (cactus mouse), 2863 nucleotides long. RefSeq lists it as uncharacterized. The transcript has 4 exons. NCBI's taxonomy places the organism in Eukaryota, Metazoa, Chordata, Mammalia, Rodentia, Cricetidae. The record is from RefSeq and is a predicted model, not a curated record.